CGCCUCAGGGAGCGCCGGGGCCGCAGCGGAGCUGAGGGGGAGCGGCGCCUCAGGGAGCGCCGGGGCCGCAGCGGAGCUGAGGGGGAGCGGCGCCUGCGGGGCUGGAGGAGCCCGAGGGGGCUGAGGGAUCCCAGGCAAUCUGAAGGAGCUGGGGGCUGAGAACUGGAAUUGCCGGGGCUGGAGGAACGGUGUCUGUUACUCACUGCUUUCAACAUUCCAGACUGUGGUGGAUUGAUUCAGUGCCCCAGCAUACAAGUAUUUAUCAUCUUUGGAGAAGCAGGCACUGCAAAGGCCUAUCAGGAGAGAUGUGGGCUGAAAAUGGAUGGUUGGCAUUAGAUUGUUAUGCUGAUUUUCACCUGUCACAAACUGUUCCAGACAAAAGCUUCAGAGGGAGAAGGUUCCUGGUGACCAGACAUGUUCUGCCUCUUCACAAAGAGAAUUUCACCCCAAAUUUGUUACCCCUUAAGCUCAAGAGUCAAGUAAAACCUGGCCAAUGGGAAAUUCCACAUGCUGACCCCUUUGAAAGGACUCCUGGCAUUUGAGGGAGAAGUUACUGCCAACACUUCCCUAAGGAAUGGGAGCUACUGGAGCUGCAGUGGGAACAGACUCAUCUUUGCCACCAGCACAGAGCAAAUCCUUCUUGAGCAGACUGCCCCCAUCAGAAAAGAUCUGCACAAAAUGUUCAUAGACAUGAAGCCAGAAAAGCUGAGUGAAGUUGAGAGGGAUUAACAGUGAAAUUUGGUCUGGCCACUUGCAAAGCUGUAAAGUGCAGCAGGAUGGAGUUUGCUUUUCCAUUUGGGAGCUGUGGAAGUCUGAGGAGGAUGCUCUGUUUGGAAUGGAGAAGGAAGGUCUGUUGAUUACAGAUCUGUUGUCUGGCUCAUCAAACCUUUGGAUAUUAUAAGAAAUACAAGAAAUACAGUUAAAAAGUUGAACAAAUAAAUGUGUACAAUGGAUAGAGAUCCCCCA
Molecule: long non-coding RNA, 966 nt
Filed under: Parus major (Great Tit)
Lineage: Eukaryota; Metazoa; Chordata; Aves; Passeriformes; Paridae
Description: lncRNA (ENSPMJG00000010864.1)
Source: RNAcentral